CCUACGGGAGGCAGCAGUGAGGAAUAUUGGUCAAUGGACGAGAGUCUGAACCAGCCAAGUAGCGUGAAGGAUGACUGCCCUAUGGGUUGUAGACUUCUUUUAUAAAGGAAUAAAACGAGGCACGUGUGCCUUUUUGCAUGUACUUUAUGAAUAAGGAUCGGCUAACUCCGUGCCAGCAGCCGCGGUAAUACGGAGGAUCCGAGCGUUAUCCGGAUUUAUUGGGUUUAAAGGGAGCGUAGAUGGGUUGUUAAGUCAGUUGUGAAAGGUUGCGGCUCAACCGUAAAAUUGCAAUUGAUACUGGCAGUCUUGAGUACAGUUGAGGUAGGCGGAAUUCGUGGUGUAGCGGUGAAAUGCUUAGAUAUCACGAAGAACCCCGAUUGCGAAGGCAGCUUACUAAACUGUGACUGACAUUGAUGCUCGAAAGUGUGGGUAUCAAACAGGAUUAGAUACCCUUGUAGUC
RNAcentral lists this ribosomal RNA (460 nucleotides) under uncultured bacterium. Its description in RNAcentral is "partial 16S ribosomal RNA". It matches the Rfam family "Bacterial small subunit ribosomal RNA", at positions 338 to 795 of the family's 1533-position model. The record is from RNAcentral.